Molecule: ribosomal RNA, 622 nt
Filed under: uncultured bacterium
Lineage: Bacteria
Description: bacterial SSU rRNA
Rfam family: Bacterial small subunit ribosomal RNA
Source: RNAcentral
GAAAACUCCGGUGGUAUGCGAUGGGUCCGCGUCUGAUUAGGCAGUUGGCGGGGUAACGGCCCACCAAACCGACGAUCAGUAGCCGGCCUGAGAGGGCGGACGGCCACACUGGGACUGAGACACGGCCCAGACUCCUGCGGGAGGCAGCAGUGGGGAAUAUUGCACAAUGGGGGAAACCCUGAUGCAGCGACGCCGCGUGAAGGAAGAAGUAUCUCGGUAUGUAAACUUCUAUCAGCAGGGAAGAAAACAGACGGUACCUGACUAAGAAGCCCCGGCUAACUACGUGCCAGCAGCCGCGGUAAUACGUAGGGGGCAAGCGUUAUCCGGAUUUACUGGGUGUAAAGGGGGCGCAGACGGCCAUGGCAAGCCCGGUGUGAAAGGCAGGGGCAUAACCCCUGGACUGCACUGGGAACUGUCAGGCUGGAGUGCCGGAGGGGUAAGCGGAAUUCCUGGUGUAGCGGUGAAAUGCGUAGAUAUCAGGAGGAACACCGGCGGCGAAGGCGGCUUACUGGACGGCAACUGACGUUGAGGCCCGAAAGCGUGGGGAGCGAACAGGAUUAGAUACCCUGGUAGUCCACGCCGUAAACGAUGUAUACCAGGUGUCGGAUAUCAAGGAUAUCCG